This 252-nucleotide ribosomal RNA is filed under the name uncultured bacterium. RNAcentral's name for it is "partial 16S ribosomal RNA". It matches the Rfam family "Bacterial small subunit ribosomal RNA", at positions 524 to 775 of the family's 1533-position model. The record is from RNAcentral.
UACGAAGGGGGCUAGCGUUGUUCGGAUUUACUGGGCGUAAAGCGCACGUAGGCGGAUCGUUAAGUCGGGGGUGAAAUCCUGGAGCUCAACUCCAGAACUGCCUUCGAUACUGGCGAUCUUGAGUCCGGAAGAGGUGAGUGGAACUCCUAGUGUAGAGGUGGAAUUCGUAGAUAUUAGGAAGAACACCAGUGGCGAAGGCGGCUCACUGGUCCGGUACUGACGCUGAGGUGCGAAAGCGUGGGGAGCAACAGG